Carassius auratus (goldfish) is the source of this 922-nucleotide long non-coding RNA. RefSeq lists it as uncharacterized. Lineage: Eukaryota; Metazoa; Chordata; Actinopteri; Cypriniformes; Cyprinidae. The record is from RefSeq and is a predicted model, not a curated record. The transcript has 3 exons.
GAGUUGGUGGGGCCUUGAAGAAUCUUGCGGACAGAAUUGUUUCUUAUGGGACCAGUAUUCCUGAUGCAGACUCUCUGUAUGAGCAGCUGAAGAACAAUUCAUCAGUGACUCUGUACAAAGUAUCAGAGGAGAAAAUAAAGGCCAGCCGCGAAUUGGUUCCCCCCCAACCUGAAAGCAGUUCCUGGGACACUGAAAAUACACCAACUGACAUCCACAAAACCAGGAGUCAUAAAUACACGGGAGGUGUCAUGCUUUUGUGGAAAAAAAUGGCCAGUGCUUUUCUACAAAUUGCCACAUGUUCUCUGAGGGAAGAGAUGAGGACCCUGACCGAACAGAGGCCACCAUAGAGGUUGGACAGUGGGUCCUGGUUGAAUACGAUGGUGACUUGUUCCCUGGUACAGUCACACAGAUUGCUGAAGGGCAGUAUGAAGUCGACACCAUGAAUUGUGCAGGGGAGAACCGCUUCUAUGUACCAAGCAUCAGAUUUCCAGGAGAAAGGGUCUGGUACUAUCGUCAGGACAUACGGGACAUAAUCCCAGAACCACUUCCUGUCACCUCCUCUGCUAGACAUUUCUGCAUUUUACCUGACAUAUGGGCAAAACACAAGAAAUGCUCAUGAAUGAGUUACAGUUGAGGGAAAAUGUGAUUGGUACAGAGCAGUCAUUCCAGUUGUUUGCUCUAGUUGUUUGACCAACUCAAAUCGAGUUGCUGCUAUUCAAGUUCUUCACAUUAAAUUAUUCUCAGAAAAAGUUUGUGUGGUUCAAUGUCAGGACCAAAUUGUUUUAGCUAAACUAAAUUCUUUUUACAAGAGCACAUGAUGCUGUUACAUUUAAAUGUUUCUCAGGACCACAUGAUGAUAUGUUACAUUGAAAAAGUUCUCAUCACAUGGUUGUAUGUUUAACUAGAAUGAUAAAAUGUAUAC